AGAAAAGCCGGGCUGAGCGGUCUAGUCUUGGGAGGACGAGAUCUCCGGCGCGGGUCAACCGCUGCCACAUCCACUCGGAUCGGUGCGAGAUCCAGACACGCGAGUUUUCAAAUGCAAGGUUUCGGCCUUGCAUUUUUUU
RNAcentral lists this small RNA (139 nucleotides) under Fulvimarina pelagi HTCC2506. RNAcentral's name for it is "Alphaproteobacterial sRNA ar9". It matches the Rfam family "Alphaproteobacterial sRNA ar9". The record is from Rfam by way of RNAcentral. Lineage: Bacteria; Pseudomonadati; Pseudomonadota; Alphaproteobacteria; Hyphomicrobiales; Aurantimonadaceae.